CGCAAGCCUGACGGAGCAAGACCGCGUGCGGGAUGACGGCCUAAUGGUUGUAAACCGCUUUUCGCUGGGAAGAUGAUGACGGUACCAGAGGAAUCAGCCUCGGCUAACUCCGUGCCAGCAGACGCGGUAAUACGGAGGAGGCAGCGUUAUCCGGAAUUAUUGGGCGUAAAGCGUCCGUAAGUGGUUAUUCAAGUCUGCUGUCAAAGCGUGGGGCUUAACUCCAUAGAGGCAGUGGAAACUGGAUGACUUGAGUGCGGUAAGGGUCGUGGGAAUUCCCAGUGUAGCGGUGAAAUGCGUAGAUAUUGGGAAGAACACCAGUGGCGAAAGCGCUCGACUGGGCCUGCACUGACACUGAGGGACGAAAGCUAGGGGAGCG
Molecule: ribosomal RNA, 376 nt
Filed under: uncultured cyanobacterium
Lineage: Bacteria; Bacillati; Cyanobacteriota
Description: bacterial SSU rRNA
Rfam family: Bacterial small subunit ribosomal RNA
Source: RNAcentral